ACCUUUCAUUUUCUCAGCUUGUUCAUUCAGGCGGAUUUCAAGAUCUUGCUUCUGUUUCUCCAAUUCUGAAAUUUGCUGUUUAAAGUCUGGGAUCAUCUUUAGAGAAGAAUUAGAAAUAUUAGAAUAUAAAAUACUUUUAUCUAUGAACUUUAAAAUCUUAGAAGCAAACUGAACUAUCUUGGUGUUCAGCCUGCAGAACAGAUAGCUGUGUAAAAGAGCUAGCCACGACAUUAGACUGGAUUAACAUUUUUUUUUAACCUCAAAACCUAUAUAGUCUCAGGAAACACCAGUAUGCUCAGAGGAAGCAGUUCUCACACAGCUACGACAGGGAGAGAAGGAUGUGUACAUGUAUAGAAAUCCUAUGCUGAGUUGAGGGAGGAAUUAGGUGAAGAAAUGGCAGCCAGCGUCUUUGGUCCAAGCCCAGAGCCAUCGUCUCCUCAUCUAGGAACAGGAAAAGCCAUCUCAAAGGGUCCCACUGCUACUUUUGAAUUCAAGGACAUGCACUGCUCUGUUAGUGGAGGUCUGGAAUCACCCGGGCCCAGUUUUCUAGCUUCACAGUCUCCAGCUAAAUAACUCACCAGCUAUCCAAUCAACCAACUAACCAAUCUUCCAGGUAUUCAACCAACUAGCUAUUCAACCUAUCAACUAAGCAAUCUACCAUAUGUCCAACCAAAUUCAUACCAAAGGACACGUUUCCUUAGCAGCGACACAGCUAUGAUAAAUUCAGUCUGCACCCAUGGACUAAGAGACUCAUAUUUUUAUUACCUCUCAUUUCCCGUUUUUGUGACUGCACAUGUUUCUCCACAUCUAUCUUCUGUGCCUGAAGUAGUUCUAUCUCUUUUUCGAACUCAGAGAUUGUCUGAAUCACAGCAAUGACGGAAUCAGUUACCCUGAGUAUUUAAGGGCUCCAGCCCCUGUUUCUACAGAGAGUAAGCAGGAGAAUCAAACUGAUAUGUGCUGAGCACUUUACCUAGAAGACCUAAUCCUCCUAACAGGCCUAUGAGCUCCUGUCUAUAGAUAACAGCGAGCACCAGCCACUGUAAGACGCUGCCAUUUGUUUCACAUGCAAGAGCUCAACGUGACUUCAAAGGUGACACUAUUCCCGACCUGGCCAGCAAUGACUGAAACAAGGAGAAAGGACACAUUCAAGGGCUCCUCAAUGUCAAGGACAUACUUCUUCCUUUUGUCGAGCUUCUCAAUAGCCAGGGGACUUUAUAUGUCGAAUAUGCUAUGAUUACACAGUUGAUGGCGUAAAGGGGAUUCACACUUUGCAACUGUUAUGACUCAGGAAGGAUGUGUGAGCACAGCAGGAUUCCUAUCAUUUCAACUUCUCCUGGUAAAGUGUCUGCUGGGCUGGCAGCAGGCCCCGUGGUGCUGACUGAUGGUGACUGGCAGCUGGCGAUGCCCACGGCAGCAGUGUUGGUGCACCCAGCACCGGGUCAUGGGGAGGGCAAAGGGAUGUCUUCUGGGCCUCCAAGCCACCAACCCUGGGUGCUAGGACUUUGAAAAUGCAGCAGAGGCUGGGCACGGUGGCUCACACCUGUAAUCCCUGCAUUUUGGGAGGCCAAGCGGGGGUGGAUCACUGGAGGUCAGGAGUUCGAGACCAGCUUGGCCAACAUGGUGAAACCCCACCUCUACCAAAAAUACAAAAAAUUAGCCGGGCGUCAUGGCGCAUGCCUGUAAUCCCAGCUACUCGGGAGGCUGAGGAAGGAGAAUUGCUUGAACCCGGGAGGUGGAGGUUGCAGUGAGCCGAGAUUGCGCCACCGCACUCCAGCCCGGAUGACAGAGCAAGACUCCGUCUAAAAAAACAAAAAAAAAACAAAAUGCAGCAGAGUGGAUGAUAAUAAAGAUCACCUUCUUAGAACACACUAGCUCACACUUUUGCAGGGACUCACCAUAGGCAUUUGGCUACAUUAUUUCAUCUGACCAUUUUAUUCUCACAACAAUUCUGUCAAUCUCUUUUUGUUAUUCUCAUUUUAUAUAGGAGGAAACUAAAAUUCAUUAUGGUAGGCAUUUGGCUAACGUAUUUCAUCUGAUGAUUUUAUUCUCACAACAAUUCUGUCAGUCCUUUUUUGUUAUUCUCAUUUUUUUAUAUGAGGAAACUAAAAUUCAGAGAGGGUAAGGGACUUUAGCCAAGGCUGCCCAGCCAGACAAAGGCAAGAUUUGAAUCUAGGGCAUCUGGUUUUUAUGCUGACUGCUCUUUUCACUACACCAGAGAUGAAAACCCUACCCUAGCUUUGCAUCGCUGUUCAGGGGAAGACAUUUCCAGGGCAUAGACCUUAAGGACAAGUGAUAGGAGACCAAGGUCAUCCUGGAAGAAAGGGAGGCAGCCAGCCAGGGCUCUUUGGGCCUGUCAUCAUUUUGCAAAACUUGAAAGAAAGAGAAAACCUAUGUUGCAUUUCUCUCAUUAUUAACCUCCUCCCUUCCCCUAGACUCUAAUCCUCUGAUCUCGC
Long non-coding RNA from Homo sapiens (human), 2453 nucleotides. RefSeq lists it as uncharacterized. The record is from RefSeq and is a predicted model, not a curated record. Lineage: Eukaryota; Metazoa; Chordata; Mammalia; Primates; Hominidae. The transcript is spliced from 4 exons.